Molecule: non-coding RNA, 474 nt
Organism: Paramuricea clavata
Lineage: Eukaryota; Metazoa; Cnidaria; Anthozoa; Malacalcyonacea; Plexauridae
Source: the annotation of a GenBank genome assembly
CUGAGCAACAACACCUAUCAAGGAAAACUUGUCGAGCGUACACACGAGAAAGUAAAUUUUUGUCAACAAAACAUGCCAAGGAAAACUUGUUGACUGUACACACGAGAAGGUAAAUUUGUCAAGCAGUCAAGAAAACUUGUCAAGGGAAACUUGCUCGUCGUCUGUACGUGACUUCAUACACGAAUGUUUGGCAUAAUGAAACAAUCAUCCAUUCACCAUUGUCAUAAUUUCAGUCGUCAAAUUGUGCAACUAUGUCGUUAAAACACUAUAAUGUUUGUGCAUGAUGAAUUCUUUUCAAUUAACAUGGAAUCGUAGUUCAUUACACACGCUUUGAAGUUCACCGAGAUUUCAGAACUUUAAGUCAAUUGACUAUGACCUUUACUAUUAGUAUUGCUGUGUCUACGAGUUAUAUAUAGUCCGUUUCCUUAGGGACAGUUGUGUAGGACCGGAAAAUUCGCAUAUUUUGCGUCUGAG